Molecule: long non-coding RNA, 488 nt
Organism: Vitis vinifera (wine grape)
Lineage: Eukaryota; Viridiplantae; Streptophyta; Magnoliopsida; Vitales; Vitaceae
Exons: 2
Source: RefSeq, a predicted model, not a curated record
UGGUAUUCUCGUUUUCGUAUUAGCAUAAGUAGGUGAUUAAGAAAGCACAAGAGAUGGCUGUUGGCAAGGCAUUCCUCAUCAUUUGCGUCGUAUUAUUCAUUCUGCCUGAGAUGUUGGUGGUAUGUAACUGCAAAAGAGCAUUCGUAGGCGAUUCCUCUCCUCUACCUUCGCCAAGUUCGCAAGUGUAUCCAAAUCCUUCAAGUCCUAGUCCAGGAUGCUUCCUCCCAACAUCGACGGCCCAAGUGAGACCUGCACACUAUUGCAGCCCAGGGCCUCCGUAACAUCGUUGAUCAAUUUGGUUCAUUUGGUAUCCAUAUGUAUGAAGCACUUCCUAAAUUUCUAUUCUGAUGUUACAUAUAGCUUAUGGUCAUCUCAAUACUUGCAGGUGUUGAGAGGUAGUGGAAUUUAUUAUUAUUAUUAAUAUGUGUGUACGUGUUUUCUUUUAUUUUUGUUUUACUAAAAUAAGGACUUCUCAAUUUUUCGAGGAA